UGGCGAACGGGUGAGUAACGCGUGAGUAACCUGCCCUGGAGUGGGGGACAACAGUUGGAAACGACUGCUAAUACCGCAUAAGCCCACGGAUCCGCAUGGAUCUGCGGGAAAAGGAUUUAUUUGCUUCAGGAUGGACUCGCGUCCAAUUAGCUAGUUGGUGAGGUAACGGCCCACCAAGGCGACGAUUGGUAGCCGGACUGAGAGGUUGAACGGCCACAUUGGGACUGAGACACGGCCCAGACUCCUACGGGAGGCAGCAUG
This 261-nucleotide ribosomal RNA is filed under the name uncultured bacterium. RNAcentral's name for it is "partial 16S ribosomal RNA". It matches the Rfam family "Bacterial small subunit ribosomal RNA", at positions 96 to 353 of the family's 1533-position model. The record is from RNAcentral.